GACGAACGCUGGCGGCGUGCUUAACACAUGCAAGUCGAACGAAGUGGCGAACGGGUGAGUAACGCGUAAUCAACCUGCCCUUCAGAGGGGGACAACAGUUGGAAACGACUGCUAAUACCGCAUACUGAAGGAGGGGAUUGCGUGUGAUUAGCUAGUUGGGGGGGUAACGGCCCACCAAGGCGAGGAUCAGUAGGCGGGCUGAGGGGAGGAACGGCCAAAUUGGGACUUAGAAACGGGCCAGACUCCUUAGGGAGGCAGGAGUGGGGAAUCUUCCGCAAUGGAGGAAAGUCUGACGGAGCAAAGGCGCGUGAGUGAUAACGGCCUUCGGGUUGGAAAACUCUGUUAAUCGGGACGCGGUACCGGAAUAGAAAGCCACGGCUAACUACGUGCCAGCAGCCGCGGUAAUUC
RNAcentral lists this ribosomal RNA (408 nucleotides) under uncultured bacterium. RNAcentral describes it as "partial 16S ribosomal RNA". It matches the Rfam family "Bacterial small subunit ribosomal RNA", at positions 28 to 526 of the family's 1533-position model. The record is from RNAcentral.